UUCACCCUUGUUCUCCAAUAAACAUUUUUCAGGAGGAUUGAAAUCAAGUUCUUUUGUUUUUGUGUUUGGAUCAAUUUUUUUGUUUUGCUUUGGCAAUAUCUUUUUUCGCAUAGGCGAUUUUGAUGUAUAAAGUUCACCCGAAUCAGAGCUGUUUAUCAAUUCCAUCUUUCUCUGAUGCAGGUAGAACAUAAAUAAUUUCCAUCUUUCACUGUUCUUCAUAAUAAAUCCCGUUGACUUUUUGAUCGGAUACCCUGCUCACCGCUAUAUACACCUCUUUUAUCAUCAUACUUUAAAAGAUGUAAGAACUCCAUUUUCACACCAAAGUAAUACCUUGUUCCAUCCGGGCCGAGUUUUUUAAGUUUUACAUUUUCAUUUUUUUUUCUAUUAAAACAUUUUUUUGAAAAGUUUUCAAGAACUCAUAAUAGAAUUAGCUGUUUUUAAGUGUAUGCAAGGUAUGUUAUCUCAGGAAGUAAAUCUUUUGCAACUUACCUAUUCAGAGAUCUCACUCGGAACACCAAGAAAACACCAACACCUUAGUACUGUCAUUCAUUGGGUCAAAACAAUUGCUACAAGUCAUACAUACACAGAGAUCAUUCUCAAGCAGCUUCUUCUAUACAAACUUAGAAAGAAGCUACUCAAGCAUGAAAACAAAUAAAUGACA
RNAcentral lists this long non-coding RNA (661 nucleotides) under Brassica rapa (field mustard). RNAcentral describes it as "long non-coding RNA (BRAP_LNC000049)". Lineage: Eukaryota; Viridiplantae; Streptophyta; Magnoliopsida; Brassicales; Brassicaceae. The record is from RNAcentral.